RNAcentral lists this small nuclear RNA (103 nucleotides) under Chelonia mydas (Green sea turtle). Lineage: Eukaryota; Metazoa; Chordata; Testudines; Cheloniidae. The record is from RNAcentral.
UCGCUUCGGCAGCACAUAUACUAAAAUUGGAAGGAUACAGAGAAGCUUAGCAUGGCCCCUGCACAAGGAUGACACGCAAAUUCGUGCAACUUGGCCCUAAACU